UACGUAGGGUGCGAGCGUUAAUCGGAAUUACUGGGCGUAAAGCGUGCGCAGGCGGUUAUAUAAGACAGUUGUGAAAUCCCCGGGCUCAACCUGGGGAUUGCAUCUGUGACUGUAUAGCUAGAGUACGGUAGAGGGGGAUGGUAUUCCGCGUGUAGCAGUGAAAUGCGUAGAUAUGCGGAGGAACACCGAUGGCGAAGGCAAUCCCCUGGACCUGUACUGACGCUCAUGCACGAAAGCGUGGGGAGCAAACAGG
RNAcentral lists this ribosomal RNA (253 nucleotides) under uncultured bacterium. Its description in RNAcentral is "partial 16S ribosomal RNA". It matches the Rfam family "Bacterial small subunit ribosomal RNA", at positions 524 to 776 of the family's 1533-position model. The record is from RNAcentral.